Diuraphis noxia (Russian wheat aphid) is the source of this 459-nucleotide long non-coding RNA. NCBI's taxonomy places the organism in Eukaryota, Metazoa, Arthropoda, Insecta, Hemiptera, Aphididae. The record is from RefSeq and is a predicted model, not a curated record.
UGUGCGGAAGUUGAUCUAAAGUAUACUUGACAAAAAAUUCGAAUUUGUUUUCAGAAAUCUUAUCGCUUCACUUUAUAUUCGUUUGGCAGAGGACACUGUUAAAAUUCUUUGUGUUAGACAAAGAUACAAAAUCGUGAUAUCGAAUCCCCUUAAGUAAAUCUUUCUCUGAAUAAUUAUCAAAAAAUUAUAUACCAUUAAAAUAGUAUUAGAAGCAUCACAAGUUUUUUACAUUCCUUUCUGUGUUUUCACUAUACAUAUACCAUACCUGUAAGUUUAUAGUAUGCGUUUUUACGAGUUUAUGCUACAGUAAAUAAUACCAUCAAUUAUAUUUUAUAUUAGAGAAAAAAUUUUCAAAAAUAAACAAUGAUACAACAAACCAGCAAACACAGUCAAACAUAUACGAGGAUAAAGAAGAAAACAAAUUUGGAAGAUUCUUUCAUCAAAUUUGUUCAUAUUUAA